GCCUGGGUGGCUCAGUGGUUGAGCAUCUGCCUUUGGCUCAGGUCAUGAUCCUGGAGUCCUGGGAUCGAGUCCCACAUCAGGCU
Molecule: transfer RNA, 83 nt
Filed under: Canis lupus familiaris (dog)
Lineage: Eukaryota; Metazoa; Chordata; Mammalia; Carnivora; Canidae
Also listed under: 2 other names
Rfam family: tRNA
About the family: Transfer RNA (tRNA) molecules are approximately 80 nucleotides in length. Their secondary structure includes four short double-helical elements and three loops (D, anti-codon, and T loops).
Source: Rfam by way of RNAcentral